RNAcentral lists this ribosomal RNA (510 nucleotides) under uncultured Gammaproteobacteria bacterium. RNAcentral describes it as "bacterial SSU rRNA". It matches the Rfam family "Bacterial small subunit ribosomal RNA", at positions 235 to 732 of the family's 1533-position model. The record is from RNAcentral. Lineage: Bacteria; Pseudomonadati; Pseudomonadota; Gammaproteobacteria.
GCCGGAUUAGCUAGUUGGCGGGGUAAUGGCCCACCAAGGCGACGAUCCGUAGCUGGUCUGAGAGGAUGAUCAGCCACACUGGAACUGAGACACGGUCCAGACUCCUACGGGAGGCAGCAGUGGGGAAUAUUGGACAAUGGGCGCAAGCCUGAUCCAGCCAUGCCGCGUGAGUGAAGAAGGCCUUCGGGUUGUAAAGCUCUUUUGUUGGGGAAGAAAAGCAUUCGGUUAAUACCCGGGUGUUCUGACGGUACCCAAAGAAUAAGCACCGGCUAACUUCGUGCCAGCAGCCGCGGUAAUACGAAGGGUGCAAGCGUUACUCGGAAUUACUGGGCGUAAAGCGUGCGUAGGUGGUUUUCUUAAGUCUGAUGUGAAAGCCCUGGGCUCAACCUGGGAACUGCAUCUGGAUACUGGCGAUCUGGAGUGCGGUAGAGGGUGGCGGAAAUUUCCCGGGUGUAGCAGUGAAAUGCGUAGAUAUCGGGAGGAACAUCCGUGGCGAAGGCGGCCACCUGG